AACGAACGCUGGCGGCGUGGAUAAGACAUGCAAGUCGUGCGGGCUGUAGUGUUAGCAAUGAUAAUACAGUUAGCGGCGCAAGGGUGCGUUAUACGUAAGUAAUAUUCAUUAAAGUUUAGAAUAACCACGGGAAACCGAUGCUAAUGCUAAAUAAUACAUGUCAAAAACAUGUUAAAGCUGGGGACUUGUGCCUAGCGCUUUUCUAUUAGCUUACGGCCUAUCAGCUAGUUGGUAAGGUAAUAGCUUACCGAAGGCUAAGACGGGUAGCUGGUCUGAGAGGACGACCGAGCCACACUGGAACUGAGACACGGUCCGAGACGACCUACGGGUGGCGAGCCGAGUCGAGAAUUUUUCACCGAUGGGGGAAACCCUGAUGGAGCGACGCCGCGUGGGGGAUGAAAGACUUUGGUCUGUAAACCCCGUGUCAUCUGUGAUCAAUGUGCGGAUUUUAAUAAACUCCAGCACUGAUAGUAGCAGAAGAGGAAGAGACGGCUAACUCUGUGCCAGCAGCCGCGGUAAUACAGAGGUCUCAGGCGUUGUUCGGAUUUACUGGGCGUAAAGGGUGUGUAGGUGGAUAAAAUAGUUAAAUGUGAAAUCUUAAAGCCUAACUUUAAAACUGCUUUUAAUACUUUUUAUCUAGAGUAACAGAGGGGAAAUUGGAAUUCUCGGUGUAGCAGUGAAAUGCGUAGAUAUCGAGAGGAACACCAGUGGCGAAGGCGAAUUUCUGGCUGUUUACUGACACUGAGGCACGAAAGCUAAGGGAGCAAACGGGAUUAGAUACCCCGGUAGUCUUAGCUGUAAACGGUGCUCACUUGCUGCAAGUUUAAAUAUUUGUGGUGAAGCUAACGCGAUAAGUGAGCCGCCUGGGGAGUACGUUCGCAAGAUUAAAACUCAAAGAAAUUGACGGGGGCCUGCACAAGCGGUGGAGUAUGUGGCUUAAUUCGAUGCAACGCGAAGAACCUUACCUAGUCUUGACAUGUAGCUUUUAGAAUAUAGAAAUAUAUUUGACCCAGCAAUGGGAGGCUACACAGGUGCUGCAUGGCUGUCGUCAGCCCGUGUCGUGAGAUGUUGGGUUAAGUCCCGCAACGAGCGCAACCCCUUUAUUCUGUUGCAACCAUAUAAGGUGAGCACUCCGAAUAGACUGCCUCGUCUAAACGAGGAGGAAGGUGGGGACGACGUCAAGUCAGUAUGGCCCUUACGGCUAGGGCUGCACACGUACUACAAUGUUCAACACAAUAAGAUGCUAAGCAGCGAUGCGGUGCAAAUCCCAAAAAUUGAACCCAGUUCAGAUUGUUGUCUGCAAUUCGACAGCAUGAAGUUGGAAUCGCUAGUAAUGGCACAUCAGCUACGGUGCCGUGAAUACGUUCCCAGGCCUUGUACACACCGCCCGUCACAUCAUGAAAGCCGGUUGUACCCAAAGUCAAAAUGGCAUCCAAAAGGACCAUUUGCCUAAGGUAUGGCUGGCGAUUGGGAUG
Molecule: ribosomal RNA, 1475 nt
Filed under: uncultured bacterium
Lineage: Bacteria
Description: bacterial SSU rRNA
Rfam family: Bacterial small subunit ribosomal RNA
Source: RNAcentral